This is a long non-coding RNA of Gallus gallus (chicken), 480 nucleotides long. NCBI's taxonomy places the organism in Eukaryota, Metazoa, Chordata, Aves, Galliformes, Phasianidae. The record is from Ensembl.
GGGAAAGAGGGAAGCAGUGGGAUGAGAUUACUGGAGGCACCUUGUAAAGCUGUCUGCAGCGUCCAGCCUUUUCAAGGAACUUCAAAGGCUCCGUCUCUUUUGCUACUGCUAGUUCUACUUGUCAAAGCACAGCUCAGUGACAGAUCCUUUAAGGUGAGAGAAGGGUUUGAAAUGACGGAUAAUACUUCCACCACCUCCCAGAACCCGGGGAAAGGUUCCAGAAAGAAAGGGGACAAAACCAGGUAGUUCAGAGAUGCGGAAGAAAGGAGCUAAGAGAAAUUUUCUGAAGAUAAAGAAAGAAAGCUUCUCCACAGCUGACGUAAAAUUCACACUUUCCAAAUGACAGUGCAGGUUUCCAGCAUACUCUUAUGACAGUGCACUCUGGACUAAAAAGACUUACUUUUAAGGUAAGAAAGAAGGUCUGUGUCCUGUCACCCCAGUGGAGCCAUGGACUCUUUAACCAUUUGGAUUGCUUUGGCU